Molecule: ribosomal RNA, 468 nt
Filed under: uncultured bacterium
Lineage: Bacteria
Description: partial 16S ribosomal RNA
Rfam family: Bacterial small subunit ribosomal RNA
Source: RNAcentral
GACGAACGCUGGCGGCGUGCUUAACACAUGCAAGUCGAACGGAAAGGCCCUGCUUUUGUGGGGUGCUCGAGUGGCGAACGGGUGAGUAACAUGUGAGUAACCUGCCCUUGACUUUGGGAUAACUUCAGGAAACUGGGGCUAAUACCGGAUAGGAGCUCCUGCUGCAUGGUGGGGGUUGGAAAGUUUCGGCGGUUGGGGAUGGACUCGCGGCUUAUCAGCUUGUUGGUGGGGUAGUGGCUUACCAAGGCUUUGACGGGUAGUCGGCCUGAGAGGGUGACCGGCGACAUUGGGACUAAGGUACGGCCCAGACUCCUACGGGGGGCAGCAGUGGAGAAUAUUGCACAAUGGGGGGGAGCCUGAUGCAGCAACGCCGCGUGCGGGAUGACGUCCUUCGGGUUGUAAACCGCAGUCGCCUGUGGCGAAGCGUGAGUGACGGUAAUGGGUGAAGAAGCACCGGCUAACUACGUG